ACUCAACUAUUAACAAAAUCUUAAUUGAACAAUUAAAAAGGGAUUAGAGUUUUACUCAAACUGGCAAAAGAGCUAAGAAGGGAAGAGAUUCUAUUAUCUAUUAAAGUGGCUUGGGCCAUCACAGCAAUUAACGAGAAAUUGAAUUCAAAAAAGAUGGGCGAGUCUGUGUAAGUAGAGUACAUAAUCAAAUUUUGCAAAUGCCUUCAUGCCUAGGCCCAAAAGUGAGCCCACUUUUGCUAACCAAGGUGAAGGUCACCUGGCCAACCUUUAUUUCGUUGAUUGGGCCAGUAUUAAGCCCAAAUUUCGAACCAGCCUUCAUGCAGAUUAACUAUUUGCAAUUAAGAAGUUAUAUGAAACAUUAAGCAGAACUGACUCUUUGCUUCUGAAUUUUAACCAUUAGCCAACAUUCUGAACUAUAACCAACGUUUCCAUUUAACAUCUUAAACUCAGCAUCAAAUAAAUCAAUAGUUGCUUUUAACCCAAGAAUAUUGUGAACUAUUCACUUCCCCUUAAACAAGAUUUCAAUCCCCUAUUUAAGGUCGAAUCCUAUCCAACACAAGAACCUUCAAUAGGCUAUUAGCUCACCAUACGUAUCUAACAUUAAAUGCACUGAUAACAAACCAACAGAGAUUUAUGUUUGCAUUUAAUUUCUAAACUAAUCCCCACAAAUAAACAUAGAGAAUAUAAGCUCGCAUAAACCAUCAAAAUGACAAUUCUAACUAAGUAAGAUGUUGCAUAUUUCCAAGCUGCAAAGUGGAACCUCAGAUUAGAAGAACACUACCUUGACAUAAUUAAACAACAGUAAUGUCUAACAAUCCAAUCACAUGCCAGAUUCUAAACCUUAUUACAAUUCCAAAUUUCUAAGUUUAAACAUCUAUCUAAAUAACAGCCUUAAACCAACAUCAAUUCUAACUAUCAAUUUAAACAGCUCCAUUAGCAGUUUCAAUAGAAUAUUACAACCAUUUGAAUCACCAUAUCAAGUUACCACUUCACAUUUUUGUUCAUAAACUCACAAAAUCACCCAACCAACAACAAAUUAUUGCAGAUCAACUAAGUAUAGCACUAAUGUUUCAUUACAUCAGACUGAAAACCUGUGAAAGCUGUAAAUAACAUGCACGGCUCUUAACUAGUACAAAUGUAUUACUAAGAACAGGAAUAAACAAGUCAUCAAGCUCAAAGCAAAUUUUUUAUUUAACUAAGUUUCCACCACAUAAUGCAUGGAAAUAACUGUUUUUCCAUCUGUAGUUUAUGGAAAUAACUGGAGAAUGAAAAGAAACAAAGCAAAGUGAGCAGAGGUCAAGCUGCAGUAGAAAGGUAGCAGAAAUCAGCACCAGCAACACCAGCUCAAACCCAAAAAAUAAACCACUUUCAAAUUAACAAUGACCCAGCAAACUUCAAACCAGACUUUAAUGACUCGAAUUCAAUCCAUUUUUACCCCAAGGAAAAUCAAAACAUUUUCAGUAAUGGAAAACUUCAAAAACCACAGAAAAAAUCUAAUGGAACAAUGUUUUUACUAAACAUUUGACCUGUUUUUCUAGUUUUCAUAAUUUUUUCUUUUUUUUUUUGUGGUCUCUGAAAUCUUUUCAUAAAUCUCUCAAAACCUGCUCUAAAAUCUUUUCCAGAAAAAUCUCUAAAAUCCUCCUCCAAAAUCUAAAUUCAACUUCAAUUAGCAAUGCCUUUAUAGACAAGCUAUUAGGGCAGUCUUGAGGGUUAAAAGUUUACCUAUUGCCCCUUUUCCAAUUAUCAUUUUGCUACUUAAUCCCUAAAUUUUUGACUUGCUUGCAAAGUAAGGCUAUUUUUCAGCUUUUAUGAAGCUACAUACGCAGUUACCCAAAGAUUCCCUAAGUUAGACUACCCAAAUAACCCCUUAACGACCCUCAAAUUACCUCGCAAUAGACCAACUUAGGUCAAAUUGACCCAAGGCAGACCAGACAUGAGCCUUUAACAAAACCUGGAUUAAUCCAUUUCUUCGGGCUUUCAAACAAAGUCUGGGUUUCAAAACCCAAAAUCAAACAAACUUGAAAGAAUUUAGCACAAACCUUCAAAAAACGAACAAAAGCACUUUGAAAUAAAAAAAGGACUUCAUAACUAAAUAGCCCCCUUUACAUCAAAACUAAAAGAAAAUCAAACAAACUAAAACCACAUUAAAGGAAAUACGAAUUAACAAUUAGCAUGGAUUAAAGGGACACAUGCAGAAGUGAGUUUGAUAAAACAGAUGAAGAAAAGAUGAACGGAAACAACAAAGAAUAAAAAAUGAAAUAAAAAAUGACCAAAACAAAUCAUGCAAGACCAAACAAUGAACCGGAAUACCUAGCAAGGAUGGCCAACCUUGAAGUUCUUCCUCAAUCUCUCAAUUUUGACCAAAAGGGGUCUCAAUCAUAUGUUCUUAGAUGAAAACACAUUACCAAAGUCCAUUUUGGUCCUAAUCGUCACCAAAUCUGCCGAUUUUAAAGUUUAACAUUUUAGGUCUCAACUUCGACUUUAGAUUUGACAAGAUCGGGGCACAUUCGAGGAAAAAGAGUAAUAGAUUUAAGACGAGUGAGGCUUGACGGUCCUAUGAUGUUAGUUUGGGGUCGAAAGAAAGAGAAACUUUAUGGCCCAAAACUUCCCUUCUUCAAUCCUAAAGGCUUUUAAAAGGAGAAGAAAAGAGGAGACAGGAAAAUGAAAUAAUGUGGUCCAAGUUUCAAAUCUAAACAAAUGAGUUACAUUUGGACUAAGAGAAAGGGUUGUCUUGAGUGUUCAAGAGUGUUA
This 2751-nucleotide long non-coding RNA is filed under the name Nicotiana benthamiana. Its description in RNAcentral is "long non-coding RNA (NBEN_LNC020951)". Lineage: Eukaryota; Viridiplantae; Streptophyta; Magnoliopsida; Solanales; Solanaceae. The record is from RNAcentral.